GUAAAAUUAAGAUAGACACGGUUCGUGCGCCGAAAUAAAUAAUUUUUUUAAAUCCUUUAAUUCAACCAAAUGACAGGUGUACAUAAUUCCGCUUGACAUCCUGAAACUAUCUUGAGUUUAUGUGGAUGUUGCACAUUCCUCUUAAAUA
Maniola jurtina (meadow brown) is the source of this 148-nucleotide long non-coding RNA. RefSeq lists it as uncharacterized. The record is from RefSeq and is a predicted model, not a curated record. Lineage: Eukaryota; Metazoa; Arthropoda; Insecta; Lepidoptera; Nymphalidae. The transcript has 5 exons.